This 433-nucleotide ribosomal RNA is filed under the name uncultured bacterium. Its description in RNAcentral is "partial 16S ribosomal RNA". It matches the Rfam family "Bacterial small subunit ribosomal RNA", at positions 29 to 507 of the family's 1533-position model. The record is from RNAcentral.
AACGAACGCUGGCGGCAUGCCCAACACAUGCAAGUCGAACGAGACCUUCGGGUCUAGUGGCGCACGGGUGCGUAACGCGUGGGAACCUGCCCUUAGGUUCGGAAUAGCUCCCCGAAAGGGGUGCUAAUACCGGAUAAUGUCUUCGGACCAAAGAUUUAUCGCCUUUGGAUGGGCCCGCGUUGGAUUAGCUAGUUGGUAGGGUAAAAGCCUACCAAGGCGACGAUCCAUAGCUGGUCUGAGAGGAUGAUCAGCCACACUGGGACUGAGACACGGCCCAGACUCCUACGGGAGGCAGCAGUGGGGAAUAUUGGACAAUGGGCGAAAGCCUGAUCCAGCAAUGCCGCGUGAGUGAUGAAGGCCUUAGGGUUGUAAAGCUCUUUUACCCGGGAUGAUAAUGACAGUACCGGGAGAAUAAGCUCCGGCUAACUCCGUG